RNAcentral lists this long non-coding RNA (716 nucleotides) under Equus caballus (horse). Its description in RNAcentral is "lncRNA (ENSECAG00000053842.1)". Lineage: Eukaryota; Metazoa; Chordata; Mammalia; Perissodactyla; Equidae. The record is from RNAcentral.
GAUGCAGUGCCCAUUAAGGCGGAUGCAGUGAGCCUGCAUUGACUGCGGUGCACCUGCAGUGCCAGUACAGCUGUAUGCCGUGUUGCUGUAGUGGUUGCCGAGCCAACUAAAGUGUUCCUGAACCUGGAUGCAGUGCACAUGCAGUGGAUGCGGUGUCCCACAAUGUGCAUGAGGUAUGUAGUGAUGGAGCAAGCAGUGCCCAUGAAGGUGGAUGCCGUAUUACUGUAGUGGUUGCAGUGCCAAAUGCAGUUUACAUGAUUUUUGAUGCAGUGAACAUGAAUUGCAUGCAGUGUCCCACAAGGUUGAUGCACUAUGUUUUGAUGGAGGAUGCAGGGCCCAUGAAUGUGGAUGCAGUGUCCCUGCAGUGCUUGCAGUGAAGCCUGCAUUAUCUGGGAAUGUGGAGGCAGUAGUGAUGCAGUGGAUGCAGUGUCCCACAAGGUGGAUGCAGUAUGUUGUGAUGGAGGAUGCAGGGCCCAUGAAGGUGGAUGCAGUGUCCCUGCAGUGCUUGCAGUGCCCCCAGCAUUGUCCACUAAUUUGGAUGCAGUAUUCAUGCAGUGAUGCAGUGUCCCACAAUGUGCAUGCAGUAUGUUGUGACGGAGGAUGCAGUGCCCAUGAAGGUGGAUGCAGUGAUGCGGCACUGGUUGCAGUGCAUACUGCUCUGUUCCAGAAUGUGGUGGUGUGAACAUGCAGUGGAUGCAGUGAUCCUGCAGUGAUUG